UACAGAGGGUGCGAGCGUUAAUCGGAAUUACUGGGCGUAAAGCGUGCGCAGGCGGUUUUGUAAGUCUGUUGUGAAAGCCCCGGGCUCAACCUGGGAAUUGCGAUGGAGACUGCAAGGCUUGAAUCUGGCAGAGGGGGGUAGAAUUCCACGUGUAGCAGUGAAAUGCGUAGAGAUGUGGAGGAACACCGAUGGCGAAGGCAGCCCCCUGGGUCAAGAUUGACGCUCAUGCACGAAAGCGUGGGGAGCAAACAGG
This 253-nucleotide ribosomal RNA is filed under the name uncultured bacterium. Its description in RNAcentral is "partial 16S ribosomal RNA". It matches the Rfam family "Bacterial small subunit ribosomal RNA", at positions 524 to 776 of the family's 1533-position model. The record is from RNAcentral.